Molecule: transfer RNA, 73 nt
Filed under: Alosa alosa (allis shad)
Lineage: Eukaryota; Metazoa; Chordata; Actinopteri; Clupeiformes; Clupeidae
Description: tRNA-OTHER
Source: RNAcentral
CCAGCUGUGGCGCAACUGGCUUGGGCACCAGCACCGUACGCUGGUGACCCGGGUUUGAUUCCCGCCCCGUGGG